This 3048-nucleotide long non-coding RNA is filed under the name Sus scrofa (pig). RNAcentral's name for it is "lncRNA (ENSSSCG00000059147.1)". Lineage: Eukaryota; Metazoa; Chordata; Mammalia; Artiodactyla; Suidae. The record is from RNAcentral.
AUAGAGAAAGGUCUUUAUUAAAUUUUACAGAAAAUGAAUAUUGAACUUAUUUUAAUAAAAAAGAAAGAAGAACAUUUUACUAAUGUUCUCAUUAAUAAAAGUAGAGAGAGGGAAAAGAAACAAUAUCAAAGACUUAAUUUGGUGAAUAUUUUUAAGAAAUGGAAUAUCCACCUAGCACCUUAACUGCAGCCAAAGAACUGGCAUACAGCAAUGUUUUCUUUAGGUUGAAAACUUAAUAAUGAAGUAUGACUAACUAGGAACUUUUUUUCCAGCAACAAUUACCUUCACAAUAUCAAUGACUCUUGACUUCUCUUGUUUAGCAGUUCUAUAUUUUACCUGCUAAGUGUAUUUAGUAACUAGCUCUCAUUAACCAAGAAGUAUUUGUUGACGUUUAUGUGACUAGCCUUGGGCUAGGUUUUAGAAAGUGGAGCAAAAAUGGAAGACAUGAUCUUUUCCCGCAAGGCUCUUCUAAUAUUAUUGGGAAGCCUACUCUCUAGCAAUACAUUUGAAAAUGCAAUUACUGGUAAUAUGGAAAGGGACAAGAAUUGUUGCUAUAAGAAGACAGGGCUUCAAAGGGCUUUUUAGAAACUGGAGGAAAACAUAAUUCCAGCAAGCGGAGGCACUGCUUCUAGCCUCUAUCUUAGGGAGCUCUGCACUGUGAAAUGCCUCCCACUAAAUUUUUAGGGCUAGGACCUACAGGAUCCAAGACUGCCAUCCAGGUCAGGCACUCUGAGAUCAGAGCACAGUAUUUCUUUCAUGGGAUCACAUGAGAUUGAGCUUCCUCAAUAGUCCUAACAUGUUGAUUUUGAAUAAAUCUCACUGAACACAGGACAAAUUUAGGGCCCUAGGCUAUUGAUAGUCUACCUCUAACCCUUGGGUUUGAAACCUGUAUAUCAGACAUAGUGUCAUUUGUCAGCUCUUCAUGUCUAGGUCAUAUGGCUUCUGUGAUCUAUAGCAGCAGAUGUGGCAGAAACAGUAGCAGACAAAGACUUUGCUUUGUGCCCUCCUCUGCACCCAGAGAUUGUAACCCAGGAUGGUUACAUUAUUCCUCGUACAGGCUUUGCACUGAAUGCCAGGUAGAUCUCUGGGAGUGGCUGUGACUAUCUUCUCUGAGGGCUUUCUAGAAUGUUGCUCCUUGAUGCCCAUCAGCCCUUAUGAUCAAAAUUCUUUUUUGCCAAUGAUUGAUGUGGUAACCUACUCCCCUGGGUUAGUCUUAAGCUUUGCUGGAAAUGGAUGGAUAUUCCCUAUGUCCACAGGACCAUUCUUCUUGCACAGCUCAUAGCACCCUCACUAAGUCUCCUCACUGGUGGCUGUAUAUGGAAGACAGGGGUGUGGUCAACACUAAAAGGUAUUACAUUCUAGGAAUGCAAUGAUUUUAACUAAAGAUUUUGAGGGAAGAUAUAUUUGGAAGAUGUGCUAUUCUAUGUUUUAAGUUAUAAAAUUCUUUAAAUAACAGAAAAUGAAUAACAACUCACACUUUCCUACAUGUUCUGAGUAGGAUUUUCACUUAUAUGUGGUCCUCAUCAUGAAGGCUAAUAAUAAGGAUAAGGAUGUAGUUAGAUAUAAUGAAACAGUUAUAACCUUUGAUAACACAAUGAAACGGUUGGGUGAUGGAGCAUCAUGAGUAACAAUGUAGCUAAACAGGUGGCAUUAAGGAACUGUAGUAGCAAGAAGAUCUAUAUUUGUUUCAAUACAAAUCCAUUAUGAAGAGCUACGGAUUUAUGAAUAAAAAUGGUAUUACUGCCUUUUCCAUGUAUUGUGAGGUAUGACAUUACUUAGGAAAUAACACAUUGACAAUAAAUAACAUGAAGGGAUUGUUCCUGAAUCUGAACAGGAAGGUAUUGCCUGGUUACUAAGAAUCUUCAUAUGCAUUUAUUGGACACUAGACAAAUAUGCAACUACUUUAUUACCCAUUAUUCUAAGUCUUCAUUUCUACCUCGUUUGGGCCCUGAAUUUUGUAUUAUAUUUAAAUAUAGUUAAUCAAUUAGACAUAAUUCAGACACUCACAAUAGUCAUUGAUCACCCACUGGGUGCUCCAUGCUAAAUAUUUAGACAUACUUUAAAAAUGUUCAAAUGAAUGGAGUACAUACAUGCAUUGAUCUUAUUCCUGUGCCACCAUCCACUAUAGAAAGUGCAAACCUUUUUAAGUAACUGUCGCGAUUACUACCUUAAUAUUUAUUUAACUACAAAUGUUAGAUUUAAAUUUUUAUAUGUCCUAAAUACUUUAACAAUAUCCUUUUCUCCAAAUUAUUUAGACACAAUUACAACCUCCCACCACAAGGAAAAGCCAUAAUCUAGAAUAUUGUUACCUAAGAAAUUCGAACUAUGUAUUUUCUGCAUGUUUUAUGAUCCUGGUUUAGUAGUCAAUGAACACUAUGAUAAUGCCAAGAAACUAAAAAAAUUAGUAAUAACUCUAAAGUUAAAAUCAAUUUCUUGGAGAAAUCAUUUUUCAGUUAAAUUUUUAAAAGUUUCCUUGCCUUCUUUUGCUUUCUUUUUUUCUAACUUUUCUGUUUUGAAAAAAGAAAAGAACUCGUAAUGAUUUCAAGUGGGGUAAAUUUCACAUCUUAAUGAUAAAUUCAACAAUUUAAAGUAAAAUCAUGUAUAAAGUAAAUGAUUUAGUCUAAUGUUCCCUCCAUUAUAAUGAAAAUAAUUUUUUGUAGGCACCCAGAUGCCCCACUAAUUAUUUAUAAUGUUUAAGGGAUUGUUUUAUACAUUUUAAUUUUGGUGUUUUAGGUCACACAAAGAUGGAUAGACUCUUAUAAAAUGACCAAGAAAAGUUCUCUGAUCAUACUUGAUGUUGUAGUCAUCAAAGAGUGUUUGCUUUCAAAAGAAUUAUUAUACUUCCAGCUUGCUUGCCUUGGGGAAUGUCAAUUAAAUCCAAAUUAUUUUAUGACAGAGAUUUUGCCAUUUUUAGACAUGGUAAGUGAACUAGAAAUGACUAAAAUCAAAUGAGAAAUGAAAAAAUAAAGUUUGAUAUUUACCUGUAAAUUGCUUAUCUUUCAAUUAAGCAUUGGUUUCCCCUUGCCAAAAGUCCCCAUUUGCAGAGGC